This 1449-nucleotide ribosomal RNA is filed under the name Triticum aestivum (bread wheat). Its description in RNAcentral is "partial small subunit ribosomal RNA". The record is from RNAcentral. Lineage: Eukaryota; Viridiplantae; Streptophyta; Magnoliopsida; Poales; Poaceae.
AUGAACCAAAGAAUGUCAAGAAACCGGCCGUGGAAGAAAAACCAGUCCACAUGGCGUGCCUAUAUAUAUACCUCGCCGGCCGUGCAUUGCCAUUGCCGGUCGAUCCGCCGAUUUCCGCCCUCCUCCUCCUCCUCAUCCUCUUGUAGUGGCACCCACCACAAAUGCUACAAUCAUCGAACCGAGCAGCAACCAACGACUCCGCUCCCGCAGAACUUUUCCCGGUCUUCGCCUUCCCACCACAAGUGUCGUCCGGCCACGGAAUCGUCCCGCGAGACGUCACACACACAUCGCCACCAGCCCAGCGGAGUCCACAAUAAAACCCAAAAGAUCUCUCCAUCCUUCUCUCCCACUCCCACCCCCACCCGUGUGCCGCUCCCUCGUCUCGUCUUCUCGACCAAGUUUCUCCCUUUCUCCUCUCUCUUUCUCUCCGCGUUGUGGCUGUGGCCUGCGGGGCGCGGGCAGGCGGCGGUUGCUCGUUCUGCUUGGCGUAUGGUCGGCCGGAUGGAGCGGCAGACGGUGUCGACGUCCUCCGCGUCCUGCUCCCCCUCCGGCGCCUCGUCCUCAUCCUCCUCCUCCUGCGGCGGACGGAAGCGGCCCGACAUACUCAACAUGAUCCGGAGUGCAGCAUGUCUUAAUUCAUCAUCUACUGAUACUGGCAAGGGGCGGAGUAAGCAAUCAAGCACCAAGGUGACGCAUGGAUUCCACUUGGUUGAAGGGAAAUCUGGCCAUGACAUGGAGGACUACCAUGUAGCAGAGUACAAGUGUGAUAAGAAUCAUGAGCUUGGCCUCUUCGCCAUAUUCGACGGCCAUCUGGGUGAUCGUGUGCCCAGUUACUUGAGAGCUAACCUUUUCUCCAACAUACUCAAAGAGCCUCUCUUCUGGACCGACCCUCAAGAAGCGAUUAAAAAUGCAUAUGGCUCUACAAACAAAUAUAUUCUGGAAAAUGCCAAGCAACUUGGACCAGGCGGCUCAACAGCAGUUACUGCUAUUGUGGUUGAUGGCAAGGAUAUGUGGAUAGCAAACGUAGGUGACUCGAGGGCCGUUUUAUGUGAACGGGGUGCUGCUAAUCAGAUCACCGUGGACCAUGAACCCCAUAUAUCUAAUGAAAGGCAGAGGAUUGAACAGCAGGGCGGCUUUGUCACAACAUUUCCUGGCGAUGUCCCUCGCGUAAAUGGCCAACUCGCUGUCGCAAGGGCGUUCGGUGACCAUAGCCUCAAGACGCACUUGAGUUCAGAACCUGACAUUAGGCAUGUACCUAUAAACUCAAGUAUAGAGUUCGUCAUACUUGCCAGCGAUGGAUUAUGGAAGGUGAUGAAGAACCAGGAAGCCGUGGACCUCGUGAAGUCGACAAAGGACCCCCAGGCAGCAGCAAAGCGGCUGACGACCGAGGCGCUCGCGAGGAAGAGCAAGGAUGACAUCUCCUGCAUUGUCAUCCGCUUCCGCUGCUGA